UAACCGCUAUUAGCUCAUAGUUCCUGGGAGUUAGGAAAUCAGGCACCGCCUGUGUGCCUCAGGCUCAUAUUCCUGGCUCUUGGCAGGCCUCUUCACUGGCUGUUGCCUGGAGACACCAGCUCCUUGCCACAUGUCCCUCCUGGCAGGGCUGUUCACAACUGGCAACUUGCUUCCCUCAGGGCUGAAGGUUUAAGAAAAAAGAGCAAGGAAGCACCUCCAAGCAGGAAGCUACAGUCUUUGCGAAACCCAGCGUUGGGAGCAACAUCCUAUCACAUCUGCCAUAUUCCACUCAUUGGAAGAGAGUCACUCAGCACAGCCUACGUUCAAAAAGAGAGAAUGUCACAAGUGUGCAAAUGCCAGGAGGAAAAGCUUAAGACCAACGAAUGGAAUAACUUAGAUUUGCCAAAGCACUGCACCCUUCGACCUGCAGACCUACACCGCUGGACCCUCAAUAUAUUUUUAGACGUUUCGGGAUCUAGCAACUUUCUCAAGUUCAUCGCUCCUUCAGGUUGAAAUGCUUGCCACGAGUUAAAGGAGUCCAGAGAGCAAAUAAAGAAAGGACUUUCUUUAUUUAUUAUUCCAAGUUCUAUCAUAAGUUUCUUUAUUUAUUAUUGCAAGUUCUAUCAUAAUCCACGAAUUAGCUACGGGAGACCCAGAGAGGCUCUCAGACGACUGCGUUAUCACUUCAGUCAGGCCCUCUAGGUAAACCCAAUGGCCUGCAUCCCAGUCAGCACAGAGGGAUUAUCCAGCUGUCACCUCUCUCCCAACUGAACGUGUCACAGCUCAACCGCCACAUGGCGGCUCUCAUUGAUUUGUGUAUUGCUCCUGUGGAGGAAACUUCGGCAUUACCUACGGUCUUCAGAUACUCACCUGCAUUCCUUUAACACUAACACAUUGUGAGCUCUUAAUAAAUGUUUAAGAACUGCCCUGCAAUUUUUUUUUCUGCCCUGCAAUUUUAUGAACACAUGGAUGGUUUGAGCUUUGGAUUUUUCAUCUUUAUAUUGAUUGCAACCAGCUGGUAACAUAAGUGACAAAAUUCUAAGAGACAAGUUGCUUGUUCACAAUAUACUUCAUUCAGCAAAAAGAGAAGAAGGUAUAAAUUUUUCAAGAUGAGUAUUCCUUAUGGGAUUUCCAGAUCACUAGCACCUACACUUCGGGGAUUAUUCUUUGAACCACACUUUUGUUUUUCGCUUGCCCAUGAGGCGGUCUGAAAAUCCACUUUGUGCUGGAGAGCAUUCUCAUCAUAGAAGUUAGAUAAAAAUAUUUUUCACGCUUGCAUGUCUAGGCAUCUGUAUUUAACAGCCCCUCACGGACCACUAGUACGGUGAAGGAGGAAAAAAUGUAUUUCUCUUUAGAGAAUGAUAAUAAUAUUAGCAAAGAAUUUGAUGUGAUUGCACCUCUUGUGAUAAUCCACAUUUCUGUAUUUCCAGUACUUCUAUAACUAAUGCACCAAGUACUAUUUGAAAAAUUGUGUGAUUUAUACUCAGUAAA
Long non-coding RNA from Canis lupus familiaris (dog), 1491 nucleotides. RefSeq lists it as uncharacterized. The transcript is spliced from 3 exons. The record is from RefSeq and is a predicted model, not a curated record. Lineage: Eukaryota; Metazoa; Chordata; Mammalia; Carnivora; Canidae.